UGAGUACGAGAUGCUACGGCAUCGAAGCAGUCUAUGUCAUACUUCCAAGAAAAGCUUGCAAUGUCAUAAACAAAUAAUGCCUGUACCAUAACCGACACAGGUGGGUAGGUAGAGUAUACUAAGGGGCGCGAGAUAACUCUCUCUAAGGAACUCGGCAAAAUGACUCCGUAACUUCGGGAGAAGGAGUGCCUUAUUUUUAUAAGGUUGCAAUAACAAGAUCCAAGCAACUGUUUACCAAAAACACAGGUCUCCGCUAAGUCGUAAGACGAUGUAUGGGGGCUGACGCCUGCCCAGUGCCAGAAGGUUAAAGAAGUUGGUUAGCAUUAGCGAAGCUGAUAACUGAAGCCCUGGUGAACGGCGGCCGUAACUAUAACGGUCCUAAGGUAGCGAAAUUCCUUGUCGGGUAAGUUCCGACCCGCACGAAAGGCGUAAUGAUUUGGAUACUGUCUCGGAGAGGGGCUCGGUGAAAUAGACUUGUCUGUGAAGAUGCGGACUACCUGCACCUGGACAGAAAGACCCUAUGAAGCUUUACUGUAACUUGAGAUUGAAAUUGGACUUUAUCUGCGCAGUACAGGUGGGAGACGUUGAAAAUAUUCUUGCGGGAAUAUUGGAGUCAUCAGUGAGAUACCACUCUUAUAAUGUUAGAUUUCUAACUUUGUAUCAUUAUCUGGUCAAAGAACAGUUUCAGGCGGGCAGUUUGACUGGGGCGGUCGCCUCCCAAACGGUAACGGAGGCGCACAAAGGUUUCCUCUGAACGUGUAGAAAUCGUAUCUAGAGUGUAAAGGCAUAAGGAAGCUUGACUGUGAGACCUACAAGUCGAGCAGGGACGAAAGUCGGUCUUAGUGAUCUGACGGUGCUGAGUGGAAAGGCCGUCACUCAACGGAUAAAAGUUACUCUAAGGAUAACAGGCUGAUCUCCCCCAAGAGUUCACAUCGACGGGGAGGUUUGGCACCUCGAUGUCGGCUCAUCGCAUCCUGGGGCGGUAGUACGUCCCAAGGGUUGGGCUGUUCGCCCAUGAAAGCGGUACGCGAGCUGGGUUCAGAACGUCGUGAGACAGUUCGGUCCAUAUCCGGUGUAGGCGUUAGAAUAUUGAGAGGAGCCUUCUUUAGUACGAGAGGACCGAGAAGGACAUACCUCUGGUGUACCAGUUAUCGUGCCAACGGUAAACGCUGGGUAGCCAUGUAUGGAGAGGAUAACCGCUGAAAGCAUCUAAGUGGGAAGCCCACCUCAAGAUAAG
This 1237-nucleotide ribosomal RNA is filed under the name metagenome. RNAcentral describes it as "bacterial LSU rRNA". It matches the Rfam family "Bacterial large subunit ribosomal RNA", at positions 1564 to 2808 of the family's 2925-position model. The record is from RNAcentral.